AGUGAACGCUGGCGGUAGGCCUAACACAUGCAAGUCGAACGGCAGCACAGUAAGAGCUUGCUCUUACGGGUGGCGAGUGGCGGACGGGUGAGGAAUACAUCGGAAUCUACUUUUUCGUGGGGGAUAACGUAGGGAAACUUACGCUAAUACCGCAUACGACCUACGGGUGAAAGCAGGGGAUCUUCGGACCUUGCGCGAUUGAAUGAGCCGAUGUCGGAUUAGCUAGUCGGCGGGGUAAAGGCCCACCAAGGUGACGAUCCGUAGCUGGUCUGAGAGGAUGAUCAGCCACACUGGAACUGAGACGCGGUCCAGACUCCUACGGGAGGCAGCAGUGGGGAAUAUUGGACAAUGGGCACAAGCCUGAUCCAGCCAUACCGCGUGGGUGAAGAAGGCCUUCGGGUUGUAAAGCCCUUUUGUUGGGAAAGAAAAGCAGCAGGUUAAUACCCCGCUGUUCUGACGGUACCCAAAGAAUAAGCACCGGCUAACUUCGUG
RNAcentral lists this ribosomal RNA (492 nucleotides) under uncultured bacterium. Its description in RNAcentral is "partial 16S ribosomal RNA". It matches the Rfam family "Bacterial small subunit ribosomal RNA", at positions 29 to 507 of the family's 1533-position model. The record is from RNAcentral.